Molecule: ribosomal RNA, 291 nt
Filed under: uncultured Rickettsia sp.
Lineage: Bacteria; Pseudomonadati; Pseudomonadota; Alphaproteobacteria; Rickettsiales; Rickettsiaceae
Description: partial 16S ribosomal RNA
Rfam family: Bacterial small subunit ribosomal RNA
Source: RNAcentral
UUUAUCGCUGAUGGAUGAGCCCGCGCCAGAUUAGGUAGUUGGUGAGGUAAUGGCUCACCAAGCUGACGAUCUGUAGCUGGUCUGAGAGGAUGAUCAGCCACACUGGGACUGAGACACGGCCCAGACUCCGUACGGGAGGCAGCAGGUGGGGAAAUUAGUUGGAACAAGUGGGACGAAAGCCUGAUCCAGCAAUACCGAGUGAGUGAUGAAGGCCUUAGGGUUGUAAAGCUCUUUUAGCAGGGAAGAUAAUGACGUUACCUGCAGAAAAAGCCCCGGCUAACUCCGUGCCAG